This is a non-coding RNA of Peromyscus maniculatus bairdii (prairie deer mouse), 1427 nucleotides long. The record is from RefSeq and is a predicted model, not a curated record. NCBI's taxonomy places the organism in Eukaryota, Metazoa, Chordata, Mammalia, Rodentia, Cricetidae.
UUAACCACAUCAUGAAUAACUGGUUCAAUGUUGACGUCCAAGAACCUACUGCAUCCCAAGUGUUCCGUCUCUGUGGGAGGUAAGACAUGGUCCCAACCCUCCAGCUUCACGGUCUGAUGGAAGAUGGAGACAACUAAGCCACAGAGCUUGUGCUACAACCGUGACAACUGACGUUCCAUGGGGACAGGAAACAUCACUGAGAGCUGCUGUUGGAACAGGGUGUGUCAUCUGCUGGGAGUAUGACACCAAGGAUUCCCAGGCACGCAAGACCACCGGAUCUCCCUUGCAGUCAACUCAGUAGGAUUGUGGCCAAUGGGUGCUCAUCAUGGCCUCUGACCUAUUGCCACACUUUCUCUUCCCCUUCCACAAUGACUUCGGAAGCUCCUUGGUUAAGACGACAGUCACAAAAUGGAAGGGGCCAGGUCCUCACGGAGCUGUUUGUUGAGAAGAUACACUCCCAACCACCACAUACCUAGCAUCAAAGCAGAAAUAACUGUAAAGCUACCAAGGAUGGAAGGAUUUUGGCAGCAGAAUCUGGAGUUUACCACUUAGACUAACACCAGCCAUAACCUCUGGCUAACCCAGUUCCCAUCAUCACUGGCACUGCUGUUACUGACAUGGAUAUUGUUAGUACAGUAGCUGUUCAAAUAAUCUUAGUGAUAGUGUUACCGGGUAAAGACCCAAAGACCACUCAGCACGACCUGGAGAGAAACAGUUCCCACAGAGCAGCCCCGAAUGCAUACUGCAGCGAGCUUUUAAAGACAAAGAACACAGGAAAACUACAUCCUGGUUGGCAGGUCCUGUCUGAGUAUUUGGAAUCUACCGAUGCAGAAGCGAUGGAUUUGGAAGGCCCUGUACUGAAGAACUCCAUGAAAGGAGCCAGAGGAGACUCUUGGAAUCCUGGAGUCACUUCCUGACCCUGCUGGAAUAGGGACCUGUCACCAAUGCCUGUGUCUGGAGGUGGAAGCUUCCAGUGCUCCACCUGAGGAACGUGAACCAUGACUUCUAAGAUGUAUGGGCUGGAAGAAUGCGGAGACCACUCAGUGGAGACUGACCUGACCAGGGAGCUCCUCCUGCCAUUGUUCAAGGAAGCCUUUACUGGUGAAUAAACUAACAUCCUGAAAGGGAUGGUGCCAGCCUAGCCCUUUCCUUCCCUCCCUCUGGGGUCUCUGAUGAUGGCCAUCCCCCACCUGGAGACUGAACUGUAUCCAGCCACUCCUCAUCACUCCAGCAUCUCUCAGUGACCACCUGCAACGGUUGUUCGGGUUCCUGAAGACCUCAUUGAUUGCCUGUCCAUCACUCUCUGCCGGUUCUCACAGUCAGGCUUAGAGUCUUCUCUCAAUGUUGGAGCCUCUAUCAGCUCAAACAUCUGACCUUGAAAGAUGCCCUUUUAACUGAAAAAAAAAAAAAACUCCAUAUCUACAGAG